CAGAGAGCCAAGUAUCCUUGUCAUCCCCGCUGAGCUCAAGACCUACUUCCUCUUUAUCUUCAGUCUAUAGUGAGCAGUCACGAAGGACAUCUCAUGGGCCUCAUCGGGUUUUUGUUCCUCACUCACCUAUGGACUUGCAACUGGGUCACCGGGUCAGGAUCAUGCUGCCAUCUGGCAGGAUCAGCACAGGAACAAUUCGUUUCCUGGGACACCUGCAGGGGGAAGCAGAUUUCCACCUUGGAGUGGAGCUGCAGACUCCUGAUGCAGCUCUGGGUGAUGGCAGUCACAGUGGACAGAGCUACUUUGACUGCAAACCUGGAUAUGGUGUCUUUGUGCCAUUUCACAAACUACUGAUGGCCUG
Nematolebias whitei (Rio pearlfish) is the source of this 361-nucleotide long non-coding RNA. RefSeq lists it as uncharacterized. The record is from RefSeq and is a predicted model, not a curated record. NCBI's taxonomy places the organism in Eukaryota, Metazoa, Chordata, Actinopteri, Cyprinodontiformes, Rivulidae. The transcript is spliced from 3 exons.